Molecule: long non-coding RNA, 1562 nt
Organism: Harpia harpyja (harpy eagle)
Lineage: Eukaryota; Metazoa; Chordata; Aves; Accipitriformes; Accipitridae
Exons: 2
Source: RefSeq, a predicted model, not a curated record
CUGUAAUUCCAAUCGUCUGGACUGGGAAGUUCCCGGUAAAUCCAGAAAGCAGAACCUGUGAGAAUUGAUUUAAAGCCAGGAUCGAAUCCGUAUGUCUCCACAGCUGGACCCUUAGAAUUGGACGUAGCAGCGCAUCCCUUCCGACCAGGAGAUUGAAUAUAUAUAAAAUCACUGAGAAGUGGAAAGGACCUGAUCGAGUCAUUUUAACAACACUUAUAGCAGUAAAGGUCUGGGAGAAGAACCUUGGCUUCAUUAUUCAAGAAUAAAGAAAGCACCAACAGGAAAUUGGAAGUCUAAAGAAACUGGCCCUUUGAAAUUGAAAAUCUAUAAGUAAGUUUCACGUCAUCUAUUUGGGAAAACAAUUGUGUAAAGUUUAUAAUAUUGGGGUUGCUAUUAGGAAUAUUGUCAAGGGCAGUAAUCUUUUUGUGUGUUAUAGGGUUUAAGUAUUUUUUUUGAGGGGUUCUAAACAUAAGAUAAACAAAAUGAAACAAUUAUUGUUUGCGCUAUUAAUCUUGAUAUUAACUGUUUUUGUAAUUUUGAUUAAGAAAAAAAAAUCUAGUUUUGUAAUUGAUUCAAAGUUUUGUAAAGACACAAAAUUUAACCUCAACAACAGCCUGCCUUCCAAUUCCAAAGUCAGAUGAAAAUCUAGUUCCAUGGAGAAUACUGACAUUGAAUUUAACCAAAACUUGAGAAAAGAGGUAGAACAAUGAGAAUCAUUUUAGCAAAUUAAAUUGGAUGGAUUUAAAAGGCAAUUAUUUUUUUAAAUUUGAAAGAAGGAAUUCUAGCAUUUUGAAUUAUAACAUUACCAAACCAUCCACCUCAUGGACAAAAGCAUUAAUUUAUCGCCCUUCGGGAGAAACUUGUACAAACACCCCUUGGGGCUGUCAGUUGCCAAAACCGUAGAGACAAGUGCAAAAAGGAACUUGGGAUCACAUUUAAAAUCUAAAACGAGGUUUAGAAUUUACUGGAGUUCCAGGAUCCUUGUUAGAUCCACCCAGAGACAGGACCAUCUAUGGAAAUUUAGAUUGGUUUAGACAAACAAGAGAAAAAUCACACAGCCUAAACAGAACGGUGUGAAAAUUUAUACUUGCAGCUCCUGUGACCCCCAAAUCCAAAGACUUUCUCUAGUAGCUAAAGCUCUAAGAUGGGGAUGCAUUUGUAGAAAGUAUAAUAAUAUUUGAAAUGAUGUUUGGUCCCCUCUUAAUAAUGGAAAAAAUUUAGCUUGGAAUUGACUGUAUUAAAGGACAGGUGAAAAGUUUAGGGUUAACUGUUUGGGUGAAUAGUGAUGAUAUAUGAUGCACUCACCUUUUCAUGAAGGACAAAAGCAAAUAAUGGACUUUAGACUUAAUAACUCUAUCCUCUCUCUGGAAGAAAUCUCCCUUGUGGCCUCAAUGGUGGACCUGGGUAAAUCGAAAAGAUGAUACCUGGCAAUUGCCAAGUCUUAGAACUAAAAUAAGAUGGGUAUUAAAAAUCUGUAUUUUUACCCCAGUUAACAACUCUUCAAAAUAAGAUGACUCUCGACAUCUUUCAUUCAAUAAAUGAAGUGCCUGCUUCUUAACUUC